RNAcentral lists this transfer RNA (89 nucleotides) under Armatimonadota bacterium. Its description in RNAcentral is "Armatimonadetes bacterium (oil production facility metagenome) tRNA-Leu". It matches the Rfam family "tRNA". From Rfam's summary of the family: Transfer RNA (tRNA) molecules are approximately 80 nucleotides in length. Lineage: Bacteria; Bacillati; Armatimonadota. The record is from RNAcentral.
GGGCGCGUGGCGGAAUCGGCAGACGCGCAGGACUUAGAAUCCUGUGGGGACAUGGCCCCGUGAGGGUUCGAGUCCCUCCGCGCCCACCA